CCUACGGGUGGCAGCAGUGAGGAAUAUUGGUCAAUGGGCGGAAGCCUGAACCAGCCAAGUAGCGUGCAGGAUGAAGGCCCUACGGGUUGUAAACUGCUUUUAUACGGGAAUAACGCGCCUUACGUGUAGGGCGUUGCAUGUACCGUAUGAAUAAGGAACGGCUAAUUCCGUGCCAGCAGCCGCGGUAAUACGGAAGGUCCGGGCGUUAUCCGGAGUUAUUGGGUUUAAAGGGAGCGUAGGCCGCAUGUCAAGCGUGCUGUGAAAUGGCCGGGCUCAACCCGGGCCUUGCAGCGCGAACUGGCGUGCUUGAGUCCGCGGAAAGCAGGCGGAAUUCGUCGUGUAGCGGUGAAAUGCUUAGAUAUGACGAAGAACCCCGAUUGCGAAGGCAGCUUGCUGCAGCGGAACUGACGCUGAUGCUCGAAAGCGCGGGUAUCGAACAGGAUUAGAUACCCCUGUAGUC
This 460-nucleotide ribosomal RNA is filed under the name uncultured bacterium. Its description in RNAcentral is "partial 16S ribosomal RNA". It matches the Rfam family "Bacterial small subunit ribosomal RNA", at positions 338 to 795 of the family's 1533-position model. The record is from RNAcentral.